RNAcentral lists this ribosomal RNA (240 nucleotides) under uncultured bacterium. RNAcentral's name for it is "partial 16S ribosomal RNA". It matches the Rfam family "Bacterial small subunit ribosomal RNA", at positions 524 to 763 of the family's 1533-position model. The record is from RNAcentral.
UACGUAGGGGGCAAGCGUUAUCCGGAUUUACUGGGUGUAAAGGGAGCGUAGACGGCAGAGCAAGUCAGAAGUGAAAGCCCGCGGCUCAACUGCGGGACUGCUUUUGAAACUGCCCUGCUGGAGUGCAGGAGAGGUAAGCGGAAUUCCUGGUGUAGCGGUGAAAUGCGUAGAUAUCAGGAGGAACACCAGUGGCGAAGGCGGCUUACUGGACUGUAACUGACGUUGAGGCUCGAAAGCGUG